Molecule: long non-coding RNA, 3254 nt
Filed under: Heterocephalus glaber (naked mole-rat)
Lineage: Eukaryota; Metazoa; Chordata; Mammalia; Rodentia; Bathyergidae
Description: lncRNA (ENSHGLG00100049674.1)
Source: RNAcentral
CUGGUGGAGGAGGGCAACAGGACCUUCUGAGGCUGUGAGGUGGGUCCAGGGAGGGUGGCUGGGCUCAAGGGCGGCACCAGGCCGCUGGGUGUGCUCACAGGCACAGGAGUCAGCUGGAUGAUCUGUGGGUAGAAACACCCACAGGACGGGGUGAGCUGUGACCCUAAAGUAAAAGGACUGAGGGGCCAGGGAUUUAGCUCAGUGGUUUCGCUGCCUGCUACGCAAGCCUAAGGACCAGAGUUCGAUCCCCGGUACCAAAAAAACCCACAAAAAAUAGGAGGAAAAAAAAAAAAAAGGACUGAGACCUAGGAGGGGUACUAUACAAAAGCAGGGGACUCAGAAUUUGGGAUUAAGACAUGACAAAAGAUGACAAGAGGACACAGAAAAAGAGCAAGGUGUAGACACUGGGGACUUAAAAUAUGGCAAGGUUGGGCCGGGGAUUUAGCUCAGUGGUUUCGCUGCCUGCCUUGCAAGUGCAAGGACCCGAGCUCAAUCUCCGGUACCAAAAAAACCCCCAAAACCAAAAAACAAAAACAAAACAAACCGCAAGGUGCAUAGCUGUCAUGAAAGAUGCCAAAAAAGAACUCCAGGAAGAGAAGCAAGUGACUAAAGGAGCCAGGCGUGGUGGUGCCCACCUGUAAUCCCAUCCCAGCACUUGGGAGGCUGAGGCAGGAGGAUUGCUGUGAGUUCAAGGCCAGCCUGGGUUACAUAGUGAGUUUAGGACCAGCCUGAACUACAUAGUGAGACCCUGCCUCAAAAAACCAGAGAAAGGGCCGGGGAUUUAGCUCAGUGGUUCCGCUACUUGACUCGAAAACACAAGGACCAGAGUUUGAUCCCCGGUAACAACAACAAAAAAAAGUGACUGAAGGAAAAACAGACACAGAAACAGUGGAAGACAGGAAACAACAUGUAGCAGAAGAAAGGGAAAAGUGGAGCCAAAGCUAAUAAAUACACCCUUACCUUGCUGGGUGGCUGGGCACCAUUCUGCACAGGUACUGAGAAUGGUGGACUGACCAGGGGCAGUGGCUGGCCAGCCCCUCCACUCCGUACUGACAUGCUAGGGGCAGCCAGGGGUACUAGUACCUUCCCAGGUAGCAGCUGGGCUGAGCCACCUGGGGGUGGGGCCUGCACGGGAGAAACUGACUGGGCUGGAAGUUGCAGAGGAAAGAAAAGAAAAAAUUACAAUAAAACCAAACAAGCCUACUAACCUAAUCCUUGUGCUGCCCAGCCCAUGCCUCACCUUUAGGGGGUGGUGCAGAGGGUACAGGCUGCAAGAUAGGGAUGCCAGGGGUGGGUGCAGUGGCGGCCAGGACCUUGCCGUUGGUGGAGGUGCCCGGCGGGAGGGUGAAACGGAUGCUGGUGGUGGGUGCAGGGCCGCUGGGAGCUGCUGUCUUGGUCCCAGGGGCUGCUGCUGGGGCAGGUGCCUUCCCCACAGUGCCCAGCAGGGGCCCAGCCACCAAGUGUGGGGCUGGUGAGGUGGCUGCUGACUUCUUGUCCGAAUACACUAAACUGACACCCAGCGGGGAGCCCCCAGGUACCCGAGACCCAGUGCCCAUUUCAGUCCUGGCACCUGCUGUGUCAUUUGGAGAUGCCUCAGCCCUGCCAGAGGCGGGGAAGGGCUUAGAGGCAAUGGGCACAGGAGUGCUGCUGACAGGCCGCACUACGUUGGUGACCAUGGUGGCAGCAGGGCGGGACAAAGGGGCUGCUGGGGUCCCAUAGGCCAGUGAUGGGGCUGGGACCGAGGGUACUCGGGCCCCACUGCCCUCCCGCUCCUCCUUGUUUGGGGGCAGGACUAGUGUCUGCAGGAUGUUUCCUCCCCCACUGGGAGGUGCCGCAAUGACUGAGGGACCUGGUGGCUCCAAGCACCCAACACUUUCAGGUCUCUUGCGCCGGAAGGUGGCAGGAUCCGUUGGGAGAAACCGAGUGACCUUGGAAGAUGUUGCUGGGCCUCCAGCCCCAGAGAGUGGAGGCCGAAGUGGGCCUGCUGCACUGCCCUGACCAGACUCCUGGACUUUGAAGGUUCCAGACCCCAGUGAGAAGGAGGUGGCUACUGAGGUUGAGGCAGCAAGUGAGGAGGAGGAGGAGGAAGAGGAAGAAGAUGGGGUGGGGCCGUAGCCUUUGCCAAAGGCUGCAGCUGCAGGUGGAUCUGGGGGCCCUGGAGGCUCAGGGUCCAGUGCUGGACGGCAAUGGGUGAAGGAAGAACGGAUCACAGGUGAGAACACCUUACGGCCAAAGCCCUGGGUAGAAGGAAGAAAGAGACACCCUAAUCAAGGAAAUAUAAGCAUUUAGACACUCACCCCCAGGCACCCUUUACAGCCAAAGGCUUUAACUCAUUCAGCUAUGAUCCUACUUGUCACAGGCCAAGCAGUUUUCUCUCUCCAGGCCUUAAUCUCUCCCCAGGUCAAACACACAGGAGCAGACAUUCUCCCCUCCUAGGAGUGUGACAGGACAGCACACUGUGCCCCAGGGCCAAGCCUCACCUUGUUGCCCUCUGGGUCCUCCCCAGAGCUGUCUCCACUCUCACUAUCAGUCACCCGCUCCUUGCACUUGAGAUCAAUAUCAGUGGUACCAAAACCUUCAUCAGCUGAGAAACAGAAGGAACAUUGUGGGAAAGAAGCUGAGGGCAGAACUACCCAGGAGGGAACAGUUUGGAACCUGGACUCUGGUCUCAGUUCUGCCUCAUUCAGGAGUGUCAUUCAGGAGGCUAGUUCCGAGCACAAUACAGGAGUCUAAAAGCACACAGACACAGCAUCUACCACUGUGCUAACAGUUCUCAUGUCCUGCCUAAGGGCCUGCAGAUCCCUGGAGAACAGGCCUGGGUUUAUUCAGCAGGACCAGAACUGAUGGCAUGCAGUCAUAAACAAACAUGAACAAAAAUAAAUGGAAGGAUCCUAGCAGCCUGGGUUCUCACCACCCUCCAUGGCUUAGCCUGCUGGUCCCUAGCAGGAUUCUGGGCCCUGCACUGCUCACCGAUAACAUCAUCGUCCCCUUCUUCUUCACAGAUGACCAUGCGUUCUUCAUCACUGGUCAUGUCCUCACUGGCUGCACGCUGGGAACGAGAGGCUCGGGUGGGCAGCAGUGGGGGCCGCCCACCGGCCGCCAAGGUGCCUCCCUCACUGGGGGUUGCGAAGGGGCCUGAAGUGCCAUACUGGGUGGAAGGCUUUGGGCCAGAGUAUGAUGUGGGGCCAGACACCAUCUGCAGAACAGGUGGCAGGGAAGGUUCAGCCACAUCUGCUGCCUCAGGCAAGCCCUCC